This 187-nucleotide ribosomal RNA is filed under the name Kluyveromyces marxianus. RNAcentral describes it as "partial 28S rRNA". Lineage: Eukaryota; Fungi; Ascomycota; Saccharomycetes; Saccharomycetales; Saccharomycetaceae. The record is from RNAcentral.
GAUCAGACAUGGCGUUUGCUUCGGCUUUCGCUGGGCCAGCAUCAGUUUUAGCGGUUGGAUAAAUCCUCGGGAAUGUGGCUCUGCUUCGGUAGAGUGUUAUAGCCCGUGGGAAUACAGCCAGCUGGGACUGAGGAUUGCGACUUUUGUCAAGGAUGCUGGCGUAAUGGUUAAAUGCCGCCCGUCUUGA